This 395-nucleotide unclassified non-coding RNA is filed under the name Hevea brasiliensis (rubber tree). Lineage: Eukaryota; Viridiplantae; Streptophyta; Magnoliopsida; Malpighiales; Euphorbiaceae. The record is from RNAcentral.
GUGAAAGGAGGAGAAGAGAAAGAGAUAGAGAUAGGGGUAGGGACAGGCACAGAGAUAGAAACAAGAGGCGCUAUCGCCGUGAUUAUGAUGAUGACUAUCAUGAUGAACUUUGAACUUGGUGUAAAAGGCCACACAGACAGAUGGUUCCACUCAUUUGGGCUUUUUGUGUUCUUGUUGUAUUCUAAUCUUAACAGUAACUUUAUUUUUGCAUAGUCCAAUGUGUUAGGCUUAAGACAAGAGAGAUUGUACUAUUUCCAUCUUAUUUAGCUUUUUUGGCAAAGCAAAACAUGACUCAAUAUUUUAAAAUCUCUCUACCUCACAAGGGGUGAACGUAAGAUCUGCUUAUAUCAUCCUCCUCAGACUUUACUUAUGGAAAUAUACAUGGUUUGUUGUUG